GAUGAACGCUGACAGAAUGCUUAACACAUGCAAGUCGAUGGGGAAGUGGUGCUUGCACCAUGGCAACCAUGGCGGACGGGUGAGUAACGCGUAAGGGACUUACCUGCAGGACUGAGAUAACAGGGGGAAACUCCUGACAAGACCGGAUAAUGUCAUGGAGCUGCAUGGCUUUAUGAUGAAAGGAGACGCCUGCGGAGAGCCUUGCGUCCUAUUAGCUAGUUGGUGAGGUAAUGGCUCACCAAGGCGAAGAUAGGUAGCCGGCCUGAGAGGGUGGACGGCCACAAGGGGACUGAGAUACGGCCCUUACUCCUACGGGAGGCGGCAGUGGGGAAUAUUGGACAAUGGGGGCAACCCUGAUCCAGCAAUUCUGUGUGCACGAAGAAGGUUUUCGGAUUGUAAAGUGCUUUCAGCAGGGAAGAAGUAAGUGACGGUACCUGCAGAAGAAGCGACGGCUAAAUACGUG
Molecule: ribosomal RNA, 463 nt
Filed under: uncultured bacterium
Lineage: Bacteria
Description: partial 16S ribosomal RNA
Rfam family: Bacterial small subunit ribosomal RNA
Source: RNAcentral